GUACCCGCUGAACUUAAGCAUAUCAAUAAGCGGAGGAAAAGAAACCAACAGGGAUUGCCCCAGUAACGGCGAGUGAAGCGGCAACGGCUCAAAUUUGAAAUCCGGCCCCCCGGGGCCCGAGUUGUAAUUUGUAGAGGACGCUUCUGGCACGGCACCUUCCAAGUCCUCUGGAACGGGGCGCCGCAGAGGGUGAGAGCCCCGUACGGUCGGACGCCAGGCCAGUGUGAAGCUCCUUCGACGAGUCGAGUAGUUUGGGAAUGCUGCUCAAAGUGGGAGGUAAAUUCCUUCUAAAGCUAAAUACCGGCUAGAGACCGAUAGCGCACAAGUAGAGUGAUCGAAAGAUGAAAAGCACUUUGAAAAGAGGGUUAAACAGCACGUGAAAUUGUUGAAAGGGAAGCGCUCAUGACCAGACGUGCGCCCCGCGGAUCACCCGGCGUUCUCGCCGGCGCACUCCGCGGGGCGCAGGCCAGCAUCGGUUCUCGCGGGGGGACAAAAGCCCGGGGAACGUGGCUCCUCCGGGAGUGUUAUAGCCCGGGGCAUAAUGCCCUCGCGGGGACCGAGGUCCCGCGCGUCCGCAAGGAUGCUGGCGUAAUGGUCAUCAGCGACCCGUCUUGAAACACGGACCAAGGAGUCAAGGUUCUGCGCGAGUGUCUGGGUGUCAAACCCGCACGCGUAAUGAAAGUGAACGCAGGUGAGAGCUUCGGCGCAUCAUCGACCGAUCCUGAUGUGCUCGGAUGGAUUUGAGUAGGAGCGUGGUGCCUUGGACCCGAAAGAUGGUGAACUAUGCUUGGAUAGGGUGAAGCCAGAGGAAACUCUGGUGGAGGCUCGCAGCGGUUANAACGUGCAAAUCNAUCGUCAAAUUUUAACUGG
RNAcentral lists this ribosomal RNA (870 nucleotides) under Lasiosphaeriella nitida. RNAcentral's name for it is "eukaryotic LSU rRNA". It matches the Rfam family "Eukaryotic large subunit ribosomal RNA", at positions 22 to 920 of the family's 3401-position model. The record is from RNAcentral. Lineage: Eukaryota; Fungi; Ascomycota; Sordariomycetes.